GGAAUACUCCAUGUAAGCCUAAUCCUCUACACAUGGGCACGUCCUCCUUAGGAUUUAAUCCGACCGGAAGGAAAGGCUCAGUAAGCGUGAGAAUCAGAACUAAACCUAUCUUUAAAACUAGAAUAAAAACCCAUUCAAAUCCUGCUCGAAACUCUACUGAGAGAUCACACAACACCCACCGAAGUAGCUACGUGAAGAAGACACUGGUGGGGCUGGAGAGAUGACUCAGUGGUUAAGAGCACAAGCUAUUUUCCUAGAGGACCCAGGUUCAAUUCCCAGCAACCACAUAGCAGCUCACAACUGUCUGCAACUCCAGGGGUUGGGACACCCUCACACAGGUGACAAGCAGUCAAGUCACCAAUGUACAUUAAAUAAAAAUAAAUAUUAUUUAAGAAAAAAUAAAAAAGAUGUAGGGGAAAUGGAAAAUCAGGGAGGCAGAAAAUCCUUCGAAACACCAGAACCCAUUUGGUGGACCCUCAGAAAGUUAAACCAAGAGACAGUUAACUUUCAAAAACUGAUCGACUAAAUUUCCACUCACUGUUUUAGUACUUUAAAUUUUGUCUUAUUUUUGAAACACACUUACCACUACAUUUUUAAAGGAUUUAUUUCACAUUUAUGUAUUUGUCUGCGGCUCUGUGACUCUGUACACAUGGCCCCCAAUAGGCCAGAAGAAGGUUCCAGAUCCCCUUCGAGCUAAAGUGACAGGUGGCUGAGAACCACCUGACUAAUGUGGGUGCCUGCCACAAGGCCGUCU
This 754-nucleotide long non-coding RNA is filed under the name Rattus norvegicus (Norway rat). RNAcentral describes it as "long non-coding RNA NONRATT011560". Lineage: Eukaryota; Metazoa; Chordata; Mammalia; Rodentia; Muridae. The record is from RNAcentral.